AUGCUUCUCCUAAAGACUAAGCCAUGCAUGCCUACGAAUAGAAGAGCAUUCUCUCCGAAUCUGCGAACGGCUCCGCAAACCAGUUGUAAACUAUAGCAAGCAUGCCCCGGCGUCGGCCGCAAGGUCGACGACGGCGCGAUAAGGAUAACCCUGGUAAUUCUGAGGCUAAUACAAGAACAUAAACCCUGCCCUAACCAGGUAUGGCGGGCGGGGGACGUGUGAUACAUCGUAACGGGUGUAAUGGGAAUAGGUGCACGUUCAGACCACCGCAACAAAACGGGAAGAAGCGUGUUUCGGCACCAACUUUUCGGGUGGCUCUUGCUGUGUGCUUCUGACCUAUCAACUAGAUGGCAGCGUAACGGACAUGCUAUGGUGACAACGGGUACAGAGGAUAAGGGUUCGAUCCUGGAGAGUGGGCCUGAGAGAUUGCUCACACUUCUAAGGAAGGCAGCAGGCGCGCAACGUUCCCCUUGGGCAAUGCUCGAGGGCGUUAGGGGACAUAUGAAUGUCUGCCUAUUGGUGGACAAUUCAAAUG
This 535-nucleotide ribosomal RNA is filed under the name Craterium leucocephalum. RNAcentral's name for it is "SSU rRNA". It matches the Rfam family "Eukaryotic small subunit ribosomal RNA", at positions 28 to 516 of the family's 1831-position model. Lineage: Eukaryota; Evosea; Eumycetozoa; Physariida; Physaraceae. The record is from RNAcentral.